This is a non-coding RNA of Macaca mulatta (Rhesus monkey), 6348 nucleotides long. NCBI's taxonomy places the organism in Eukaryota, Metazoa, Chordata, Mammalia, Primates, Cercopithecidae. The record is from RefSeq and is a predicted model, not a curated record.
GGCAGGAGCAGCGUUGGCACCGGCGAACCAUGGCUGGGAUUUUCUAUUUCGCCCUCUUUUCGUGUCUCUUCGGGAUUUGCGACGCUGUCACCGGUUCCAGGGUGUACCCCGCGAAUGAAGUUACCUUACUGGAUUCCAGAUCUGUUCAGGGAGAACUUGGGUGGAUAGCAAGCCCUCUGGAAGGAGGGUGGGAGGAAGUGAGUAUCAUGGAUGAAAAAAAUACACCAAUCCGAACCUACCAAGUGUGCAAUGUGAUGGAACCCAGCCAGAAUAACUGGCUACGAACUGAUUGGAUCACCCGAGAAGGGGCUCAGAGGGUAUAUAUUGAGAUUAAAUUCACCUUGAGGGACUGCAACAGUCUUCCGGGCGUCAUGGGGACUUGCAAGGAGACGUUUAACCUGUACUACUAUGAAUCAGACAACGACAAAGAGCGUUUCAUCAGAGAGAACCAGUUUGUCAAAAUUGACACCAUUGCUGCUGAUGAGAGCUUCACCCAAGUGGACAUUGGUGACAGAAUCAUGAAGCUGAACACCGAGAUCCGGGAUGUAGGGCCAUUAAGCAAAAAGGGGUUUUACCUGGCUUUUCAGGAUGUGGGGGCCUGCAUCGCCCUGGUAUCAGUCCGUGUGUUCUAUAAAAAGUGUCCACUCACAGUCCGCAAUCUGGCCCAGUUUCCCGACACCAUCACAGGGGCUGAUACGUCUUCCCUGGUGGAAGUUCGAGGCUCCUGUGUCAACAACUCAGAAGAGAAGGAUGUGCCAAAAAUGUACUGUGGGGCAGAUGGUGAAUGGCUGGUACCCAUUGGCAACUGUCUAUGCAACGCUGGGCAUGAGGAGCGGAGCGGAGAAUGCCAAGCUUGCAAAAUUGGAUAUUACAAGGCUCUCUCCACGGAUGCCACCUGUGCCAAGUGCCCACCCCACAGCUACUCUGUCUGGGAAGGAGCCACCUCGUGCACCUGUGACCGAGGCUUUUUCAGAGCUGACAAUGAUGCUGCCUCCAUGCCCUGCACCCGUCCACCAUCUGCUCCCCUGAACUUGAUUUCGAAUGUCAACGAGACAUCUGUGAACUUGGAAUGGAGUAGCCCUCAGAAUACCGGUGGCCGCCAGGACAUUUCCUACAAUGUGGUAUGCAAGAAAUGUGGAGCUGGUGACCCCAGCAAGUGCCGACCCUGUGGAAGUGGGGUCCACUAUACCCCACAGCAGAAUGGCUUGAAGACCACCAAAGUCUCCAUCACCGACCUCCUAGCUCAUACCAAUUACACCUUUGAAAUCUGGGCUGUGAAUGGAGUGUCCAAAUAUAACCCUAGCCCAGACCAAUCAGUUUCCGUCACUGUGACAACCAACCAAGCAGCACCAUCAUCCAUUGUUUUGGUCCAGGCUAAAGAAGUCACAAGAUACAGUGUGGCACUGGCUUGGUUGGAACCAGAUCGGCCCAAUGGUGUAAUCCUGGAAUACGAAGUCAAGUAUUAUGAGAAGGAUCAGAAUGAGCGAAGCUAUCGUAUAGUUCGGACAGCUGCCAGGAACACAGAUAUCAAAGGCCUGAACCCUCUCACUUCCUAUGUUUUCCACGUGCGAGCCAGGACAGCAGCUGGCUAUGGAGACUUCAGUGAGCCCUUGGAGGUCACAACCAACACAGUGCCUUCCCGGAUCAUUGGAGAUGGGGCCAACUCCACAGUCCUUCUGGUCUCUGUCUCAGGCAGUGUGGUGCUGGUGGUAAUUCUCAUUGCAGCUUUUGUCAUCAGCCGGAGACGGAGUAAAUACAGUAAAGCCAAACAAGAAGCGGAUGAAGAGAAACAUUUGAAUCAAGGUGUGAGAACAUAUGUGGACCCCUUUACGUACGAAGAUCCCAACCAAGCAGUUCGAGAAUUUGCCAAAGAAAUUGACGCAUCCUGCAUUAAGAUUGAAAAAGUUAUAGGAGUUGGUGAAUUUGGUGAGGUAUGCAGCGGGCGUCUCAAAGUGCCUGGCAAGAGAGAGAUCUGUGUGGCUAUCAAGACGCUGAAAGCUGGUUAUACAGACAAACAGAGGAGAGACUUCCUGAGCGAGGCCAGCAUCAUGGGACAGUUUGACCAUCCGAACAUCAUUCACUUGGAAGGCGUGGUCACUAAAUGUAAACCAGUAAUGAUCAUAACAGAGUACAUGGAGAAUGGCUCCUUGGAUGCAUUCCUCAGGAAAAAUGAUGGCAGAUUUACAGUCAUUCAGCUGGUGGGCAUGCUUCGUGGCAUUGGGUCUGGGAUGAAGUAUUUAUCUGAUAUGAGCUAUGUGCAUCGUGAUCUGGCCGCACGGAACAUCCUGGUGAACAGCAACUUGGUCUGCAAAGUGUCUGAUUUUGGCAUGUCCCGAGUGCUUGAGGAUGAUCCGGAAGCAGCUUACACUACCAGGGGUGGCAAGAUUCCUAUCCGGUGGACUGCGCCAGAAGCAAUUGCCUAUCGUAAAUUCACAUCAGCAAGUGAUGUAUGGAGCUAUGGAAUCGUUAUGUGGGAAGUGAUGUCGUACGGGGAGAGGCCCUACUGGGAUAUGUCCAAUCAAGAUGUGAUUAAAGCCAUUGAGGAAGGCUAUCGGUUACCCCCUCCAAUGGACUGCCCCAUUGCACUCCACCAGCUGAUGCUAGACUGCUGGCAGAAGGAGAGAAGCGACAGGCCUAAAUUUGGGCAGAUUGUCAACAUGUUGGACAAACUCAUCCGCAACCCCAACAGCUUGAAGAGGACAGGGACGGAGAGCUCCAGACCUAACACUGCCUUGUUGGAUCCAAGCUCCCCUGAAUUCUCUGCUGUGGUAUCAGUGGGCGAUUGGCUCCAGGCCAUUAAAAUGGACCGGUAUAAGGAUAACUUCACAGCUGCCGGUUAUACCACACUAGAGGCUGUGGUGCACGUGAACCAGGAGUAAGUACUCAACGAUGUAACACGAAAGGGGACCUGGCAAGAAUUGGUAUCACAGCCAUCACGCACCAGAAUAAGAUUUUGAGCAGCGUCCAGGCAAUGCGAACCCAAAUGCAGCAGAUGCACGGCAGAAUGGUUCCUGUCUGAGCCAGUACUGAAUAAACUCAAAACUCUUGAAAUUAGUUUACCUCAUCCAUGCACUUUAAUUGAAGAACUGCACUUUUUUUACUUCGUCUUCGCCCUCUGAAAUUAAAGAAAUUUAAAAAAAUGUCUGCAGCGUUGCUUGGUGUACAGAUUGCUGAACCUGUGGGGCUUACAGAAAUGACUGCCGGUCAUCUGAAUUAGACCUGGAACAAAUCGUUUCUCAGAAGUACUUUUCUGUUCAUCACCAGUCUGUAAAAUACAUGUACCUAUAGAAAUAGAACACUGCCUCCGAGUUUUGAUGCUGUAUCUGCUGCCGGACACUGAGCUUCUGAGACAUCCUUGAUUCUCUUUCCAUGUGGAAUUACAACCAUUGUAUUUUGUUUGUGGCAUAAAUUACAGUCAUCUCUCUUUCACUGGAAUGAAGACCAUGCCCAGGAACAUGUUUUAAGGACUCAGCUGUGGCUUUUAGGGCUUGGUUCAUACCAUGGGGGAAAAAACAUCCUAGGAGAAAGCGACGUGGCUCAUUAGUGUUGCCUCUUCAGUGCUCAAGCCACCUGGUGAAUUCCUAUGACGCAGGGGGCUGGAAAGAAAGGGAAAGUGGAUUUAAAAAAAAAAAAUAUAUAUAUAUAUAUACAAAAAACCAAGCCCCAUAAUCCCUAACUGGACAAAUGAGGUCUGUUUCUUUGGGCCUGAGGCUGUGCCAUAUAAAGUCUUAUUUUAGGACUCUACAAACUUGUCCUAUCUUAUGGAUAGUGGGCUGUGACAAUCUGGAAUAGAGAACGUUCACACUUCGCUCCUUUAAAGGAGGGACCCCAGAUCUGCAAGGGAGUAGAUUCUGCUAUCUUGGCCUCACAGCCCUUCCUGUUGAUUACAAAACCCAUGGAAGAAAACAGAACACGCCCUUCUCAGUUCCGUCUAAAUGUGUUUCUUCUACUUCAGUUACGCCAGUUCUGGGGCAAAGACACUGACGAAACAACACCUAUACCUGAAAAAGAAUAAAUGUGUGACUUUCAAAUCCCCUUUCCCAGUGAAAGAAACAGCAAACACUUCAGAUUCAGCAUCUGUUCUCCAGUUGCACUGAGGAAUGCACUGUCUCACAGCACCAGCUCUGCAGAGCCCUUGCCCCCGGACUCUUUGCGGUUUUAUUUAUAUGUAUUUCCAUAUUUCAUUCCUGUAUGUCACUGCUGCAUUGGUGUGGCAGCAAGUGACCAAAUGCUACAGGUCUUACUAUGGACACCAGGUCAGGUGCAACUACACAAAACAAAGCCAGUUCCAUGAGCUGCCUAUGAUAUGCAUUGCGGAAGUAACAUUUUACCCAGGGUGUGCCGUUGCAGUGAUAUAAAUAUAUUUUUUUUCUUAGACUAAAUAUGAGCUGACUAUCUCUUUUGAUGUGUGUACAUAGGUGUGAGUGUGUGUGUAUGCGUGCGUGUCUGUGUGUGGAUGUGGAUGUGUGUAGCCUCAUGCUUAGGACUACCCGUGAAUGUUAUGGAAUGCUACACCUGGAGAGUUCUAGUUUUCCACCGGUUUCAAGAUGAAGAACCACAUGAUGCAGUGGACCUGGAGACCGUCCCCUUGGAAAGACAACCCAGAGAUGUUCAGCAUCCUGGAUCUAUACGUGUAUUUUGUAGCCGUCACACUAACCUUAAUAAGAAUUCUACAGCUUUGGACAGAGGCAUUUUCACCUUAAUGGUGAAGUAAUUGAAAAUAUAAAUCCAUUCAGGUGACAACCCAUCGUCAAAAUUACACAUUCUGAUUGAACUCAUCUGAAUCAUCAGUUCCUCGACGGAGAGAGAGAAGGAGAUGGAAUGUGUUUGGUAACCCCAAAUGGAGUACAAGUAGCCUUUGUUUUCCUGCAUAAAUGGACUUGUUGAAUGCGAACAAAUAUAUGCAAUUCAUAUACUUUUGGAGAUGAACGUAGAUAUGUGUGUCAGCUUUGAGAUGGUGUGUCCUGGAUUAAUACUUUGUCUCCCAAUAUCACAGAAAAAUGCAUGCCAGUGACUCCUGAGGUUAAGGUCGUUGGGAUGAAAUGGCCUCAGGCAAUUUCAGAUUCCCUAAUUACCAGGAAAGUUCUACAGUAAUUAAUACACAGCUAACUCCUAUUGCCCUCACAAGAGCAUCAGCCUUCUAGGAUCAGAGCUCCGGAGUGUGAAGAUUCAGUAUUGAUAAGAUAAUGUAUACCAAACUCCAGCCAACUUACUGCCAUUUUUCAUAAUCUGAGUGGCUGCCUUGCUUAUCCUAAGCUAUGGUUGCAGAAACUGUGGCCAUUUAUAUAAGCUAUAACAUCAAAUCAGGGAAAAAUGAGGAAAAAAAAAUAGAUUCUGAACCAUUUAUUGUUGAAUAAGUAGAGAAAAUCAUCAAUAAAUAUUUAUUACAUUCUGACAGGGUGUGUGGCAUUGUAUUCUAUGCCAGAGUGACAAAGUUAAUUCACCCCUUUGUGGGGACCUUAAUAUGUUUUUUAAGGGAUGUGCCUAUGCAUUGAUGCCUGAAACAUAUGUAUAAAGAAAUGAGGUUGAAUCUCUGAACAGAUCAUCUUUUCCAGAGGUAAAGGUAGGAGGCCAACUUCAGGGUCUGGGUCUAGCCGUGAGCAAGCCCUGGCUGAGUGAGCUCUAAUGCUAACUCAUGUGCCGAUCUCUAGAGCAGCGGGAAACUACCCCACUGCACCAAAUCAAGUAGCUUCACCUUGUGUAUGCAGGCCCCAAGUUAUUUUUUAGCAAUCUUACGAGUGAAAUGUUCUGGUGUGUUGAAAAACGUUCUUAUUUUAAAGAAAGGUUGUGCUCACUACACUGCUGGUGUGUGCGUUCUGAGACCUCUUGUAUUCAAUCUGUGAAGGAUAUGUGUAUUAAUCCGUACACCCGUAUAGCCUCAAUAUUUGUCUGAAGACACUUAAAUUCUGACCCGUAAAGGAAAGUUCUAGAAGCAAUAUUUUCACUUAUUUAACAUUCUCCAAACAACAUCAUGCAUUGAUACACACUGAAGAGUGCAUUUAUUUUUUGUAUCACUCUAAGUAUGUUGGAAUAUGCAAGGACUGUGGUUAAAAUUAGAAUGUAUAAGGCAUAUUAUAAUUUAGUUCAUACUGAAAAAGAAAUUAACAGAACAUUGUUCGGUUCACACGUUCCAAAAUUUGAGUGAUUUCUUGAGUUAGACAUAGAUUUUCUAUUUUGUUUUAAUUUGUCAAGGUAUUUUUCUUCCCUUCAUGAACUUUAGGUACACAUAACUUAUGUCAUUUAUUUAUGGUCUUUUAUACCUAGUUUGUAAAAUUGUAAAAUAGCAAACUAAAUGCAGAGAGUUUGCAUUUGAAAAUAAUAAAGUAGUUGCCGUAUACAACCCUGCAA